Molecule: unclassified non-coding RNA, 273 nt
Filed under: Hevea brasiliensis (rubber tree)
Lineage: Eukaryota; Viridiplantae; Streptophyta; Magnoliopsida; Malpighiales; Euphorbiaceae
Source: RNAcentral
AAAAAAAAAAAAGAAGAGAAACCUGUAUUUGAAGAGGGGAAAAAAGACACAGUAUAUGAUUGAAUGAAUGCAAGGUAUAUUACUGACUUGAGACCUAUAAAAACAGUAAAAGAAAAAUAAAAAAUGCAAUGCAGGAUGCAAAACCCUCAAUAAUAUGAUGAAGACCCCCAACCAAGUAUACCAAAGAGUGCUGCAGCUAAAAUACAACCCAACCAUGACACACAUGAUGAUGAAAUGAUAUGAUAUGAAUGAUAAAAAAGACAAAAAAAAAAG